UACGGAGGGUGCGAGCGUUGUUCGGAAUCACUGGGCGUAAAGGGCGUGUAGGCGGUCUGCUAAGUCUGAUGUGAAAGCCCGGGGCUCACCCCCGGAAGGGCAUUGGAAACUGGCGGACUCGAGUCCCGGAGAGGAGGGUGGAAUUCCUGGUGUAGCGGUGAAAUGCGUAGAUAUCAGGAGGAACACGGGUGGCGAAGGCGGCCCUCUGGACGGUGACUGACGCUGAGGCACGAAAGCGUGGGGAGCAAACAGG
Molecule: ribosomal RNA, 253 nt
Filed under: uncultured bacterium
Lineage: Bacteria
Description: partial 16S ribosomal RNA
Rfam family: Bacterial small subunit ribosomal RNA
Source: RNAcentral